UACAUAGGGUGCAAGCGUUGUCCGGAAUUAUUGGGCGUAAAGAGCUCGUAGGUUGUUUGACACGCCGGAUGUGAAAAUCUGAGGCUUAACCUCAGACCUGCAUUCGAUACGGUCUAACUAGAGUGUGGUAGGGGAGACUGGAAUUCCUGGUGUAGCGGUGGAAUGCGCAGAUAUCAGGAGGAACACCAAUGGCGAAGGCAGGUCUCUGGGCCAUUACUGACACUGAGGAGCGAAAGCGCGGGGAGCGAACAGGAUUAGAUACCCUGGUAGUCCGCGCCGUAAACGGUGGGCACUAGUUGUGGGAACCUUCCACGGUUUCCGCGACGCAGCUAACGCAUUAAGUGCCCCGCCUGGGGAGUACGAUCGCAAGAUUAAAACUCAAAGGAAUUGACGGGGCCCCGCACAAGCAGCGGAGCAUGCGGCUUAAUUCGACGCAACGCGAAGAACCUUACCAAGGCUUGACAGUUAGAGAAAAGCUACAGAGAUGUAGUGUCCGCAAGGGCUCUAUUCAGGUGGUGCAUGGUUGUCGUCAGCUCGUGUCGUGAGAUGUUGGGUUAAGUCCCGCAACGAGCGCAACCCUCGUUCUGUGUUGCCAGCAUUUAGUUGGGGACUCACAGGAGACUGCCGGGGUCAACUCGGAGGAAGGUGGGGAUGACGUCAAAUCAUCAUGCCCCUUAUGUCUUGGGCUGCACGCAUGCUACAAUGGCCGGUACAAAGGGCUGCGAUACCGUAAGGUGGAGCGAAUCCCAAAAAGCCGGUCUCAGUUCGGAUUGAGGUCUGCAACUCGACCUCAUGAAGUUGGAGUUGCUAGUAAUCGUAGAUCAGCAACGCUACGGUGAAUACGUUCCCGGGGCU
Molecule: ribosomal RNA, 855 nt
Filed under: uncultured bacterium
Lineage: Bacteria
Description: SSU rRNA
Rfam family: Bacterial small subunit ribosomal RNA
Source: RNAcentral